Long non-coding RNA from Neoarius graeffei (lesser salmon catfish), 932 nucleotides. RefSeq lists it as uncharacterized. Lineage: Eukaryota; Metazoa; Chordata; Actinopteri; Siluriformes; Ariidae. The record is from RefSeq and is a predicted model, not a curated record. The transcript is spliced from 4 exons.
AGUAUUUAAGCAAGUCCGGCUGUUUUCCUGGCUUGUGAUAGCAGUCUCUAACAGCACAGCACCAAAGUUCCUUGACCCACGCGACGUCUAAGUGGAAAAGGAUAGUCUACUGGUAUGCGUAGUGGGGAUUAUAAGAAGUUAAUCGUGCCAAAGACUGUUCCUGCCUGUAUGGUAUGAUGCCAGCGUAACAGUAACAGGAGCCUAUUGUAGUCACUGUUUUUCCCAUUGUAAGGUUUACUUUAAAAGCUAAUGUGGGUCUGUUUAAUGCCCUGUAGGGUAGUCUAAUCGCCAUCAGCAUAAGACCCACAGUGAAAUGCCUUGUUAUAGUGUGUUGUAAGCGUGUGUAAAACCACCUCCACUUUUGUUUAGUUUAUUUGUUUAUUUCCUUAUUUUGUAUAUUUAUCCGGCGAGGUCUAUUCCCUUUUCCCACUUUUGUCAGCCGGGGCAGGGAAGCACAAGAGGUUGUGAGGGCUUAUUCUUAGCUUAUGCCAUUCGGCCUUGGCAAGUGUGCUGGUCAUACAAGCCUGUGUGGUGUGGUGCUACGAAGUUCUAUAUGUGUGUAGUGAACUAGCAUAAUAUCCCUGCCACUUGGGCUUGGUGCAUACGCUGGUCGUACCAGCCUGGGUGGUGGGUGAGUUUGUUGAUAUACUGUGACUGUGACCCUCGGGAUGAGUGUAGUGGAUUUAAACUGACGAUAGCACUGACGUGAUAUAGUAUACUUGUUGUCUGAGUGUGGUGCAUAGUUACCUUAGUCAUAGUGCUUAGUGGUGUAGUACAUUUGCUGCCUGAGUGUGGUGUAUUGCUGAGCUGAAUAUAGUAGUUUAGCAGUGUAGUGUAAGAUCUUGCUGCGCCCCUGUGGGCUUUCUUUUCCGGCUGGCUCUUUUUGUCUUUUUCCCCCUCGCCCCUUAUAGCUUAUUGUGUGUGCCCUUGUU